This 533-nucleotide ribosomal RNA is filed under the name uncultured Leptospirillum sp. RNAcentral's name for it is "bacterial SSU rRNA". It matches the Rfam family "Bacterial small subunit ribosomal RNA", at positions 337 to 863 of the family's 1533-position model. Lineage: Bacteria; Pseudomonadati; Nitrospirota; Nitrospiria; Nitrospirales; Nitrospiraceae. The record is from RNAcentral.
UCCUACCGGAGGCANCAGUGAGGAAUAUUGCGCAAUGGGGGCAACCCUGACGCAGCAACGCCGCGUGUGGGAAGAAGGCUUUCGGGUUGUAAACCACUUUUGCCCGGGACGAAAGGGGGGACCUGAAUAAGGUUGCCCGAUGACGGUACCGGGAGAAUAAGCCACGGCUAACUCUGUGCCAGCAGCCGCGGUAAGACAGAGGUGGCAAGCGUUGUUCGGAGUUACUGGGCGUAAAGAGUCUGUAGGUGGUCUGUCAAGUCUUUGGUGAAAGCCCCUGGCUUAACCAUGGGAAUGCCAAAGAGACUGGCAGACUGGAGGCUGGGAGAGGGAAGCGGAAUUUCUGGUGUAGCGGUGAAAUGCGUAGAUAUCAGAAGGAAGGCCGGUGGCGAAGGCGGCUUCCUGGAACAGACCUGACACUGAGAGACGAAAGCGUGGGGAGCAAACAGGAUUAGAUACCCUGGUAGUCCACGCCCUAAACGAUGGGUACUAAGUGUGGGAGGGUUAGACCUCUCUUCGCGCAGCCAUCCCAGGAA